This 472-nucleotide ribosomal RNA is filed under the name uncultured Magnetococcus sp. Its description in RNAcentral is "bacterial SSU rRNA". It matches the Rfam family "Bacterial small subunit ribosomal RNA", at positions 79 to 587 of the family's 1533-position model. The record is from RNAcentral. Lineage: Bacteria; Pseudomonadati; Pseudomonadota; Magnetococcia; Magnetococcales; Magnetococcaceae.
UUCGGGCGCCGGCGAGUGGCGAGCGGGUGAGUAACACGUGGAGACCUAUCCUUUGGUGGGGGACAACAGCUGGAAACGGCUGCUAAUACCGCAUACGCCCUACGGGGGAAAGAUUUAUUGCCGAAGGAGGGUUCCGCGUCGGAUUAGCUAGUUGGUGGGGUAACGGCCUACCAAGGCGACGAUCCGUAGCUGGUCUUAGAGGAUGAUCAGCCACACUGGGACUGAGACACGGCCCAGACUCCUACGGGAGGCAGCAGUGGGGAAUAUUGCGCAAUGGGGGAAACCCUGACGCAGCGAUGCCGCGUGGGUGAAGAAGGCCUUAGGGUUGUAAAGCCCUUUCAGUGGGAACGAUAGUGACGGUACCCACAGAAGAAGCCCCGGCUAACUCCGUGCCAGCAGCCGCGGUAAUACGGAGGGGGCGAGCGUUGUUCGGAAUUAUUGGGCGUAAAGCGCGCGUAGGCGGUUUAUCAAG